Molecule: ribosomal RNA, 472 nt
Filed under: uncultured bacterium
Lineage: Bacteria
Description: bacterial SSU rRNA
Rfam family: Bacterial small subunit ribosomal RNA
Source: RNAcentral
UGGGGAAUAUUGGACAAUGGGCGAAAGCCUGAUCCAGCCAUGCCGCGUGUGUGAAGAAGGUCUUCGGAUUGUAAAGCACUUUAAGUUGGGAGGAAGGGCAGUAACCUAAUACGUUGCUGUCUUGACGUUACCGACAGAAUAAGCACCGGCUAACUCUGUGCCAGCAGCCGCGGUAAUACAGAGGGUGCAAGCGUUAAUCGGAAUUACUGGGCGUAAAGCGCGCGUAGGUGGUUUGUUAAGUCGGAUGUGAAAUCCCCGGGCUCAACCUGGGAACUGCAUUCAAAACUGACAAGCUAGAGUAUGGUAGAGGGUGGUGGAAUUUCCUGUGUAGCGGUGAAAUGCGUAGAUAUAGGAAGGAACACCAGUGGCGAAGGCGACCACCUGGACUGAUACUGACACUGAGGUGCGAAAGCGUGGGGAGCAAACAGGAUUAGAUACCCAAGUAGUCCCUGAGCGGGCUGGCAAGGCGCAU